UGAGGAACAUGACCUUCGGCGGGGGAUAGCCGGCCCAACGGCCGGGUAAUACCGCGUACGACCACUCGGGGACAUCCCCAGGUGGUGAAAGCAGCAAUGCGCCGAUGGAGUGCCUCGCGGCCUAUCAGCUAGUUGGUGAGGUAACGGCUCACCAAGGCAACGAUCCGUAGCUGGUCUGAGAGGAUGAUCAGCCACACGUGGGACUGAGACACCGGCCCAGACCUCGUACGGGAGG
Molecule: ribosomal RNA, 235 nt
Filed under: uncultured bacterium
Lineage: Bacteria
Description: partial 16S ribosomal RNA
Rfam family: Bacterial small subunit ribosomal RNA
Source: RNAcentral